Molecule: long non-coding RNA, 808 nt
Organism: Lycium barbarum (goji berry)
Lineage: Eukaryota; Viridiplantae; Streptophyta; Magnoliopsida; Solanales; Solanaceae
Exons: 3
Source: RefSeq, a predicted model, not a curated record
UUCUAAUGAAUUGGGCUUAAAAAAUAAAAUAAGAGAAAAUAAGGCCCAAGCCUAGUGAUGGCCGGCCAUGGUCCAUGUGCCUUAAGCCCAAGCCCAUAAUUUAAUAUAUCCAUGUGACUAAAUAUAUAUGUGCUCAUCCAUUAGAAGGUUCAAGAAAGAAAACAAAAAAAAUUGGAAAGCCCCCUCUAAGAGGCUCUCGGCCGAACCCUUUCAAAAAAAAAAAAAAUUCUAGUCCCUUUUGCUUGAUCCUAAAAUCUUUUUCCUCUUGAAUUCUUGUUAAGCUCAGGACGCUCUCCGACAUGAUAUAAUUGGUUUAGCGAGAGAGCAACGUUUGCGGCAAGAUUGAAGUUUGAAGAAAAGAUUUUGGCGAAUUUGAGGCUUGAUUUUGGAGACGUUUAGGAGGCGGAAAAGGUACAGACGUUGGUGAUCCACCACUGUAGGCCACACUUUCUGCUACUACAGAGUGCUCCCUUUUGAUUCGGAGCCCAUAUUUUGGUACAUAUUUCUGUUAUGUAUAUAUUUUUGUAUAUUUGGCUAUUUGGGGUACGGCGGGGCCCUGUCCCGCCAUAUGUUUCCGUUUUGGUGUGUAGAGGCCUGUAGUCAUAUAUGUGGCUCGUGGGUCCUAUGAGUGUUCGUUUUGUUUCCGAUUUGCGUCUUAAUGCGGUCUUAUUUGUUAUGGUGGCCAAAAUGGCCCAUGUGUUCGCAUAUGUACAUAUGAUUGGCGAUGUGUAUUCCGCCGCCCCUUUUGUUCCGAUAUGAUGCUUUUGAUACGCGUGACCGCUUAACAAAAUAAUUAUCUUCAGAAUUG